This 121-nucleotide ribosomal RNA is filed under the name Phascolarctos cinereus (koala). The record is from RNAcentral. Lineage: Eukaryota; Metazoa; Chordata; Mammalia; Diprotodontia; Phascolarctidae.
GUCUACAGCCACACCACCCUGAACACUCCCAAUCUCAUUUGACCAUGGGAGCUAAGCAGGUUCAGACCUCACUCAUACUUGAAUGGGAGACUUCCUAGGAAUGAUGAAGUUCAGGUGUGCA